Long non-coding RNA from Bombus impatiens (common eastern bumble bee), 4153 nucleotides. RefSeq lists it as uncharacterized. Lineage: Eukaryota; Metazoa; Arthropoda; Insecta; Hymenoptera; Apidae. The transcript is spliced from 7 exons. The record is from RefSeq and is a predicted model, not a curated record.
AAGCUAAAGAUAUUAAGUCUUAGGAUAUUAAUAAUCUAACCAUGAUCAAGAUUUUCAAUUUCUCUAAUUUUUCCAGACCGAUUGCAAUCUUGAGAAACAUUUCAAAACCAGCUGAGUGUAAAUGCAAGUGUCUUAAGUAUUUUGGAAUCUCCUUGAAAAUAUUCGGGCCCAAUUGUAUGGCAUUGAAAGGCAUUCUGACGCGGGGGCAACGUAUAUUAAUCCGGGAUUACUUUCAAACGUGCGACUAAUUUAAUUUUUCGUCUCCCCUCCUCGCGAUCUCUUUCGUGACCCUUCAGCCUGUUGUCAAUUGCAGGUCGACACCUUUGCCCCGUCGCGUGCGCCUAAUCGCUUUAGAAUUAACUGCACCCCUGCGUGCUUUUGUGGGGACCUUCGAUAUCUUGGGGACGAGGAUUCACUGAACGGGACUCGCUCCCGGUUUCCUUUUAAUUUGACGACCAAACGCAUGGCUUGACACGCAACAGUGUCUCUAAACCUUAUUUGAAAUUCUAAAGUACAAAUUGAGAUGCGAUCUCACGACCAGUUCCAAUUUGUUACCAGCAUAGAUCUAGGAAAAGAUACAAUAUAUUUGCAUUACCUAAGUACAUGCAAUAUAUUGACUAUUUUAUUCAUUCGUUGAUUAUUAUUAAGAAUUAUAAAAUUACUUUUUUAGAGGUAAACAAAAUAAGCAUUGCUAUAUACAUGUAAAGCUUUAAAAGUUACUAGUACUAAUAGUAACUGCUUUUGCACAGGAGGAGCAGGUUAAGUAAUAAAAUAAGAUGAACUUUAUAAAUCAUUUCCACAAACUGUAAAUCAUCUGAUUAUUCUACUUAAGCCAAGAUACCAAACAACAGAAUGAAAGAUCUAAAAUAGAAUUGCCAAUAAACUGUGAAAUAUAUUAAGGAUACCUUAGUUCAAGAGAAAUCUAAAAACGCGAAUAAAUACAAGAAAAUUGAUAACGUCGAUGAUCAUGUAAAUGUUAACCCAAAGCUAACAUAACCUAACAUUCGCAAAUGCCAUACAGGUGAACAGGAAUGUGAGAAACGGCGAAAAAGCGGCAGAUAGGCAUCGCGGCCAAGUCGAAAAUUGUGACGUUGCUCGGCAUUUGGUACAAUUUUUUCCAUGAAGUUAAUGUUAAUCAGUGGCGGACGUGACGUGGAUGGAGGGUGCUCGACUGGAUUUCAUGUCGGCCGCUGCCAGGCUUGUACAGCCUGUAUGCCAUAAACGUGCUGCCAUAAGUACUUUGGCAAUAUACAUCCCGGCAUCGGGACUCAUCCAUUACAACAGGCUAGCGCGUGAUCGUGCAACCACUCGUGGAGCACCGGCGCGCAACGCAGAAUCAUUUUGUACCGUUCAUUUCGGAACGACAAUCCACACCACCAGCGAGACUUUCCCAUAUUUUCGCCCGAUUCUUUUUCCGAAACGGACCCGCGAAAAAUGACGUUUUAUUGCCGCUAUGAAACACACACACGAAGGCCGAAGUGCUGUUCGAGUGGGCACCGAAUUUUCGACGGUCCAUGACGAUCCUCGAGGGCAGAGCUUUGCCGUUGCCAUUGUUGCAUGUUUUCAAAGUUCAUUCGCCUGUUGAUUGACAAAUUUUUGACUUGGUGGAGCGGCAGAGAUCGAACGAUCACUGUUGCGUGAUACAUGCUGGUUAUCUUCGAAGAAGAAAUUUUUCAAGUUUGUUUAUAUAGUGGAUUACCUUAUAUACACUAUAAAUUUAUAUAUAUAAUUAUACAUAAUUGAUUAUAAUCAUGUAGAAGGAUAACGAUAUAUCCUCUAGAGUAGGCGAUCUUUGUUCGUAACGAUUCUACAGGCAACAAGAGAUCGUUGCACAAUGAGACCCGCAUAAGAGGUAUUAGGAGUACGCGUGUACGCAUCGCUAUACACAACCAGUGGUUUUCAACAUGAUAUACGUAAACUCAGGAUUAACUCCUUUAUCCUUUACCAAUUCCAUAAUACCACUUCAACGAUCUACUGGGCAAAUGAAAAAAUAACGAAACAACUAACUCGGUAACUUCUGAUAAACGGAAGCGUUAUAUCUUUUAAACUGAUGAAAUCAUCAACAGAUCUCUGAAUAUCGACAACAUUUAGAAAAUAUAUUCUAAACGAAGAAUGCUGCAUUAUGGAAGGACAAUCUAUGCAAUUUGUUUUUGGAACGUAAUCAGGGUUACAUAUGUACUAAUUUAAUAUUACAAUUCGACUACUUAACGCCACGACAUAUGAGAAGGAUAAUGACAUUUAAAUUGCAACGAUUAGGAAGUUCCCCUGGAUGGCGCGUGAAGGACGAUGAAGGAAGGCGUGCCAUUAAAAGACGGACGGCCAUUAACAUCCGCAAAACGCUGUCAAUUGACCGUCCACAAAACAACUCUUUAACCUUUUCUUCGUGGACACCCCUCCCCGAGCUGUUCCCUUAUACCGGUGCUCCACGAUUCAAAAAUCGCGUGCGUUCUUUCACGCACGCUUUACUCAUGGGGGUCCCCAAGCAAAAUGCACACGCGCGUUCCACAUCUCGUCUAACUCCGGUCUCUUCCAUUCAUUCGCGUUAUGUAUAGUGUACAGUGCCAUGUAAGUAUAAUAAAUAAGAACGCUUGAGGACCCAUUGUGCCGAUUGUUUUCGAUGGCCUCGUCGAAAACGACGAGGCCUGUCGGCAGGGUGCACGCCACGGGGCACAUACACAUACACGCAUGUACUGACAAGUAUACCUAUAUACAUACAAGCGUGCAUGCGUAUAUACGUGCACGAUUUUUCUUUCUGUUUCUUCCUGUCUCUUUUCCUUCCUAACGAUUUCCUUGUUCAGGUCUUUUCUACAUACUUGUACUCUUACACGGUCCAAUCUUUUUCCUUUCUUUUCUACCUUCUUCCUUGCCCAUAUCCGCGAAAGUCUCUUAAAUACUCCUUCAUUGCUGUAAGGAGAAAACAAGAACUCAGCAGGAACCCUGAAUGCAACCACGAAAGCUGGAUACUCGGUCACAGUAAUACGACGUGUACGUGCUCACUGGCCGUGCUCGAGUACGUACUUGCAGCCUUUUCCUAGCUUGGUUUAAGACGGUAUUUCGAAGCGGACCACGAGCUUCCAGUCCAUCAAGCAACUGAUCCUGCCGCUAUGUGAUUCCGUAUAAUGCUCCUUCCUAAGUGUUCCUUCGUCGAUCCUUUUCCAUCGAUCCUCCGAAUGCAUGUAUCGAUCAGCUAAAGAUAAAAAACGCUCGGGCGACUUCGUGGACCUAGAUACGUAUUGUACUACAUAAAGAAUGCAAUCGACCAGUGAAAAACGAGGAGAAAAGGUGUAAAGCAAAAAAAGGCAUUUGUCAAAACCAUCGUCAGAUUUGCCUUAAAAUAAGAAGGAAAAAAACCAACAGGAUGCAAUGAAACUGAACAAACGGAUGGAAGUUUAAAGCAUAUAAGAGUACUAAGGAGACAGAAAAAGCGAAGGAGGAUCAGGUACUUCUGCAACGGCUGCUGCGUCGAAUAGAAGUAAUAUUAACAUAAGGCGACGAUAAAGAACAAGCGAGCAAGGGCGAAAGAAAGACUAUAUAUAAUUUAACGACGCUAAGCAAGGGAGGACGGUCAUUUUUUUCUUGCGCAGCGUGGCCGUAGCACGAUAUGGGUAUGUAUGUGUAUAAAUUGAGUAACCAGAAAAGUAUAUAUACAUGAAGAAACUGAGUUUCGAAAGAGAGGAAUAUAACUUGGAACAAAGAACGGAUAGAGAAUCUUCUUUCGUAUAACUUUUUAAUUAACCAAACAAUGCUCGUUAGCCGAGAUUAUGAUGAUAAUCUGUUGUGUACCACACUUCACCUCGUUACUCUGUUAUUCAUCGGGUAUAGAAGGAAGAAUACAACAUGCGGAAACAGCUAGCGGCCAAUCAGUUAAGUCGAGCAUUGUUUCGAACAAACGCGCGAGAGCAGAGGGUAGCCCCUAAUCCUUGCGGCCUAUCGAAAAUCCAUGAUCGAAAUAUAUCUACUCUGUCAAACGCAUGCGUACCUAGAUCGGUACCCUUUCGUCCGACAAGGAUUUUUACGGCUUUCAAUCCUGUCAGAAUGAAGGACGUGUCGCCUCUGGAUUUGCCAUCGAAAUCUUUGUUAUGUACUUUGCCAUAAAUCAGGAUGCGCUUCAAUCGAUGCGUUAUGAUCCGAUCAAAUUGCAGAAUAUAUUAAA